Molecule: ribosomal RNA, 455 nt
Filed under: uncultured bacterium
Lineage: Bacteria
Description: bacterial SSU rRNA
Rfam family: Bacterial small subunit ribosomal RNA
Source: RNAcentral
UACGGAAGGCAGCAGUGGGGAAUAUUGCACAAUGGGCGCAAGCCUGAUGCAGCCAUGCCGCGUGUAUGAAGAAGGCCUUCGGGUUGUAAAGUACUUUCAGUCGUGAGGAAGGUGUUAAGGUUAAUAACCUUAGCAAUUGACGUUAGCGACAGAAGAAGCACCGGCUAACUCCGUGCCAGCAGCCGCGGUAAUACGGAGGGUGCGAGCGUUAAUCGGAAUUACUGGGCGUAAAGGGCACGCAGGCGGUUAAUUAAGUUGGAUGUGAAAUCCCGGGCGUUAACCUGGGAAUGGCAUUCAAGACUGGUUAGCUAGAGUCUUGUAGAGGGGGUAGGAAUUCCAUGUGUAGCGGUGAAAUGCGUAGAGAUGUGGAGGAAUACCGGUGGCGAAGGCGGCCCCUCGGACAAAGACUGACGCUCAUGUGCGAAAGCGUGGGGAGCAAACAGGGAUUAGAUACC